RNAcentral lists this ribosomal RNA (2041 nucleotides) under Salmonella enterica subsp. enterica serovar Infantis. RNAcentral's name for it is "partial 23S ribosomal RNA". It matches the Rfam family "Bacterial large subunit ribosomal RNA", at positions 161 to 2141 of the family's 2925-position model. The record is from RNAcentral. Lineage: Bacteria; Pseudomonadati; Pseudomonadota; Gammaproteobacteria; Enterobacterales; Enterobacteriaceae.
AAUCCAUAGGUUAAUGAGGCGAACCGGGGGAACUGAAACAUCUAAGUACCCCGAGGAAAAGAAAUCAACCGAGAUUCCCCCAGUAGCGGCGAGCGAACGGGGAGGAGCCCAGAGCCUGAAUCAGCAUGUGUGUUAGUGGAAGCGUCUGGAAAGGCGCGCGAUACAGGGUGACAGCCCCGUACACAAAAGCGCAUGUGCUGUGAGCUCGAUGAGUAGGGCGGGACACGUGGUAUCCUGUCUGAAUAUGGGGGGACCAUCCUCCAAGGCUAAAUACUCCUGACUGACCGAUAGUGAACCAGUACCGUGAGGGAAAGGCGAAAAGAACCCCGGCGAGGGGAGUGAAAAAGAACCUGAAACCGUGUACGUACAAGCAGUGGGAGCACAGGUUUACCUGUGUGACUGCGUACCUUUUGUAUAAUGGGUCAGCGACUUAUAUUCUGUAGCAAGGUUAACCGAAUAGGGGAGCCGGAGGGAAACCGAGUCUUAAUUGGGCGUUAAGUUGCAGGGUAUAGACCCGAAACCCGGUGAUCUAGCCAUGGGCAGGUUGAAGGUUGGGUAACACUAACUGGAGGACCGAACCGACUAAUGUUGAAAAAUUAGCGGAUGACCUGUGGCUGGGGGUGAAAGGCCAAUCAAACCGGGAGAUAGCUGGUUCUCCCCGAAAGCUAUUUAGGUAGCGCCUCGUGAAUUCAUCUCCGGGGGUAGAGCACUGUUUCGGCUAGGGGGCCAUCCCGGCUUACCAACCCGAUGCAAACUGCGAAUACCGGAGAAUGUUAUCACGGGAGACACACGGCGGGUGCUAACGUCCGUCGUGAAGAGGGAAACAACCCAGACCGCCAGCUAAGGUCCCAAAGUCAUGGUUAAGUGGGAAACGAUGUGGGAAGGCCCAGACAGCCAGGAUGUUGGCUUAGAAGCAGCCAUCAUUUAAAGAAAGCGUAAUAGCUCACUGGUCGAGUCGGCCUGCGCGGAAGAUGUAACGGGGCUAAACCAUGCACCGAAGCUGCGGCAGCGAACGUAUCACUUAAAGCGAUUCAGCGGGUUACGAUUGACGGAGCGAAGCGACGUCAAAGCGUAUACAAAGUCGAGUCGGUUUAAGGAUACGUUCGUUGGGUAGGGGAGCGUUCUGUAAGCCUGCGAAGGUGGCCUGUGAGGGUUGCUGGAGGUAUCAGAAGUGCGAAUGCUGACAUAAGUAACGAUAAAGCGGGUGAAAAGCCCGCUCGCCGGAAGACCAAGGGUUCCUGUCCAACGUUAAUCGGGGCAGGGUGAGUCGACCCCUAAGGCGAGGCCGAAAGGCGUAGUCGAUGGGAAACGGGUUAAUAUUCCCGUACUUGGUGUUACUGCGAAGGGGGGACGGAGAAGGCUAUGUUGGCCGGGCGACGGUUGUCCCGGUUUAAGCGUGUAGGUGUGUGUUCCAGGUAAAUCCGGUUCACUUUAACACUGAGGCGUGACGACGAGGCACUACGGUGCUGAAGCAACAAAUGCCCUGCUUCCAGGAAAAGCCUCUAAGCAUCAGGUAACAUCAAAUCGUACCCCAAACCGACACAGGUGGUCAGGUAGAGAAUACCAAGGCGCUUGAGAGAACUCGGGUGAAGGAACUAGGCAAAAUGGUGCCGUAACUUCGGGAGAAGGCACGCUGACACGUAGGUGAAGUGAUUUACUCAUGGAGCUGAAGUCAGUCGAAGAUACCAGCUGGCUGCAACUGUUUAUUAAAAACACAGCACUGUGCAAACACGAAAGUGGACGUAUACGGUGUGACGCCUGCCCGGUGCCGGAAGGUUAAUUGAUGGGGUCAGCGCAAGCGAAGCUCCUGAUCGAAGCCCCGGUAAACGGCGGCCGUAACUAUAACGGUCCUAAGGUAGCGAAAUUCCUUGUCGGGUAAGUUCCGACCUGCACGAAUGGCGUAAUGAUGGCCAGGCUGUCUCCACCCGAGACUCAGUGAAAUUGAACUCGCUGUGAAGAUGCAGUGUACCCGCGGCAAGACGGAAAGACCCCGUGAACCUUUACUAUAGCUUGACACUGAACAUUGAGCCUUGAUGUGUAG